AACGAACGCUGGCGGCAUGCCUAACACAUGCAAGUCGAACGAGACCUUCGGGUCUAGUGGCGCACGGGUGCGUGACGCGUGGGAACCUGCCCUUAGGUUCGGAAUAACUCCCCGAAAGGGGUGCUAAUACCGGAUAAUGUCUUCGGACCAAAGAUUUAUCGCCUUUGGAUGGGCCCGCGUUGGAUUAGCUAGUUGGUAGGGUAAAAGCCUACCAAGGCGACGAUCCAUAGCUGGUCUGAGAGGAUGAUCAGCCACACUGGGACUGAGACACGGCCCAGACUCCUACGGGAGGCAGCAGUGGGGAAUAUUGGACAAUGGGCGAAAGCCUGAUCCAGCAAUGCCGCGUGAGUGAUGAAGGCCUUAGGGUUGUAAAGCUCUUUUACCCGGGAUGAUAAUGACAGUACCGGGAGAAUAAGCUCCGGCUAACUCCGU
RNAcentral lists this ribosomal RNA (432 nucleotides) under uncultured bacterium. Its description in RNAcentral is "partial 16S ribosomal RNA". It matches the Rfam family "Bacterial small subunit ribosomal RNA", at positions 29 to 506 of the family's 1533-position model. The record is from RNAcentral.